Molecule: non-coding RNA, 27 nt
Filed under: Mus musculus (house mouse)
Lineage: Eukaryota; Metazoa; Chordata; Mammalia; Rodentia; Muridae
Source: RNAcentral
UAAUCACCACGCCUCCUGAACCUGACU